Myotis davidii is the source of this 75-nucleotide non-coding RNA. Lineage: Eukaryota; Metazoa; Chordata; Mammalia; Chiroptera; Vespertilionidae. The record is from Rfam.
GGUGGUUCUCAGGUGAUGCACCCUCGAAUUGGACUCCUUCCUCUCUGGUUUAAGGUGCGUCACCCGAGAACCACC